CAAAAAUGUAGACCAAUAUCUUAAUCUAUACAUAGAGAGACAGAUAUUGUAUUGAUGGCAUAUAUAAAAAUGGAAUCAAACAAUUUUCUAAGCCAAACUUAAAGAGACUGCUGUUUGAUCAAAUUUGGAAGAUGCUUUUCAUAGCAAUAUUUUUCACUUUUUGUUUGGCAUUUGUUUACGGUGGUGAUGGAGUACUGCAUGUGCAAAAGCAAAGCGUGUGCACCGAAGUCUCAAGUCCGCCUACUAAAGAUUGCCGUUGGCAUGCAAACCUUGAUGUAUAUGCUGAUUCGAUAAUUCUCGGAGGCUGUACGGUGGUUGCAUUUAAGCUCCAAUGGUUUAGCGGCGCUUGGUCGGAUUGGUUUGUUAAAGGAGUCAAUGACAUUGACGUUAAAGUUAAUAUAAAUCCAAUACCCGCUUGCUCUACUCCCGUUUUAAAAAAUACCAUGCGUCGAUGGUGGUCUUACUUCUACGAUCAUAAUCAUAAAUACAUUAAAUGUUGUCGCGCACCUAAAUAGCUAAAAAAUUUAAAAUUGUAAAAACUAUUGAAUAAAUAUGACAAAGUCCUCAUAAAGUUUUUAUAAUUGUUAACGCGUUGUUAUACUUUUUUAUAACUCAAAUUUGUAUGUUUUUUUUGGUGGUAGCAAAAGAUUUAUAAUUA
Molecule: long non-coding RNA, 658 nt
Organism: Hydra vulgaris (swiftwater hydra)
Lineage: Eukaryota; Metazoa; Cnidaria; Hydrozoa; Anthoathecata; Hydridae
Source: RefSeq, a predicted model, not a curated record